GGGGAAUAUUGGACAAUGGGCGGAAGCCUGAUCCAGCAACGCCGCGUGAGGGAUGACGGCCUUCGGGUUGUAAACCUCUUUCAGUAUCGACGAAGCGCCCGUGUGGGUGGUGACGGUAGGUACAGAAGAAGCACCGGCCAACUACGUGCCAGCAGCCGCGGUAAUACGUAGGGUGCGAGCGUUGUCCGGAAUUAUUGGGCGUAAAGGGCUCGUAGGCGGUUUGUUGCGUCGGGAGUGAAAACACUGGGCUUAACCGAGUGCUUGCUUUCGAUACGGGCAGACUUGAGGCAUUGAGGGGAGAACGGAAUUCCUGGUGUAGCGGUGAAAUGCGCAGAUAUCAGGAGGAACACCGGUGGCGAAGGCGGUUCUCUGGCAAUGUUCUGACGCUGAGGAGCGAAAGUGUGGGGAGCGAAC
RNAcentral lists this ribosomal RNA (414 nucleotides) under uncultured bacterium. Its description in RNAcentral is "bacterial SSU rRNA". It matches the Rfam family "Bacterial small subunit ribosomal RNA", at positions 356 to 773 of the family's 1533-position model. The record is from RNAcentral.